Molecule: small nuclear RNA, 164 nt
Filed under: Sciurus vulgaris (Eurasian red squirrel)
Lineage: Eukaryota; Metazoa; Chordata; Mammalia; Rodentia; Sciuridae
Description: U1 spliceosomal RNA (ENSSVLG00005013809.1)
Rfam family: U1 spliceosomal RNA
About the family: U1 is a small nuclear RNA (snRNA) component of the spliceosome (involved in pre-mRNA splicing). Its 5' end forms complementary base pairs with the 5' splice junction, thus defining the 5' donor site of an intron. There are significant differences in sequence and secondary structure between metazoan and yeast U1 snRNAs, the latter being much longer (568 nucleotides as compared to 164 nucleotides in human).
Source: Rfam by way of RNAcentral
AUACUUACCUGGCAGGGGAGAUACCAUGAUCACGAAGGUGGUUUUCCCAGGGUGAGGCUCAUCCAUUGCACUCCGGAUGUGCUGACCCCUGCGAUUUCCCCAAAUGCGGGAAACUCGACUGCAUAAUUUGUGGUAGUGGGGGACUGCGUUCGCGCUCUCCCCUG